RNAcentral lists this ribosomal RNA (253 nucleotides) under uncultured bacterium. RNAcentral describes it as "partial 16S ribosomal RNA". It matches the Rfam family "Bacterial small subunit ribosomal RNA", at positions 524 to 776 of the family's 1533-position model. The record is from RNAcentral.
UACGAAGGGGGCUAGCGUCGCUCGGAAUCACUGGGCGUAAAGCGCACGUAGGCGGAUUGUUAAGUCAGGGGUGAAAUCCUGGAGCUCAACUCCAGAACUGCCUUUGAUACUGGCGAUCUCGAGUCCGGGAGAGGUGAGUGGAACUGCGAGUGUAGAGGUGAAAUUCGUAGAUAUUCGCAAGAACACCAGUGGCGAAGGCGGCUCACUGGCCCGGUACUGACGCUGAGGUGCGAAAGCGUGGGGAGCAAACAGG